Molecule: ribosomal RNA, 1047 nt
Filed under: Triticum aestivum (bread wheat)
Lineage: Eukaryota; Viridiplantae; Streptophyta; Magnoliopsida; Poales; Poaceae
Description: partial small subunit ribosomal RNA
Source: RNAcentral
AUGACCACCGGCGGGAACGGGGAGGAGCAGCAGGGGCGGAGGCUGUUCGGCGUGUCGCUCACGGACAGGCCCGUCUGGCAGCAGUUCCUCAUCUGCUCCUCCGGCUUCUUCUUCGGCUACCUCGUCAAUGGCAUCUGCGAGGAAUACGUCUACAACCGGCUCCAGUUCAGCUACGGGUGGUACUUCACGUUCGUGCAGGGAUUUGUGUACCUGGGGCUGAUCAGGCUGCAGGGGUUCACCACGAAGCAGAUGGUGAACCCGUGGCGGACCUACGUGCGCCUCUCCGCCGUGCUCAUGGGAUCCAACGGCCUCACCAAGGGCUCCCUCGCCUUCCUCAACUACCCCGCACAGAUCAUGUUCAAGUCCACCAAGGUGUUGCCGGUGAUGAUAAUGGGAGCAUUUAUCCCAGGAUUAAGACGCAAGUACCCAUUCCAUGAGUACGUAUCGGCGGUGAUGCUCGUCAUCGGCCUCAUACUUUUCACGCUCGCGGACGCGCAAACAUCGCCUAAUUUCAGCAUGAUCGGCGUGGCCAUGGUGUCCAGUGCGCUCAUUAUGGAUGCCUUCCUUGGCAACCUGCAGGAAGCAAUCUUCAAGAUGAACCCAGACACCACACAGAUGGAGAUGCUGUUCUGCUCAACUGUUGUUGGCCUGCCUUUCCUCGCUGUGCCAAUGGUGUUAACAGGGGAGCUUACGACGGCGUGGAGUGCGUGUUCUCAGCACUUGUACGUGUAUGCCGUGUUGGUUUUCGAGGCGAUGGCGACGUUCGUCGGGCAGGUGUCGGUGCUGUCCCUCAUCGCGCUCUUUGGGGCUGCCACGACGGCAAUGGUGACGACGGCGAGGAAGGCGGUGACCCUGCUCCUGUCGUACCUGAUAUUCACCAAGCCCAUGACGGAGCAGCACGUCACGGGGCUCCUGCUGAUCACCAUGGGGAUCAUGCUGAGGCUCCUGCCAGAGGACAAGGAGAAGAAGGGCACGGCCAAGCGCCAGCAGGUGAAGGCGCAGCGGCGGGGAGACGGAGUAGAGGAGGAGACAUCACCGUUGGUAUGA